GACGAACGCUGGCGGCGUGCUUAACACAUGCAAGUCGAACGGAAAGGCCCCGCUUUUGUGGGGUGCUCGAGUGGCGAACGGGUGAGUAACACGUGAGUAACCUGCCCUUGACUUUGGGAUAACUUCAGGAAACUGGGGCUAAUACCGGAUAGGAGCUCCUGCUGCAUGGUGGGGGUUGGAAAGUUUCGGCUGUUGGGGAUGGAUUCGCGGCUUAUGCGCUUGUUGGUGUGGUAGUGGCUUACCAAGGCUUUGACGGGUAGCCGGCCUGAGAGGGUUACCGGCCACAUUGGGACUGAGAUACGGCGCAGAAUCCUACGGGAGGCAGCAGUGGGAAAUAUGACACAAUGGGCGGAAGCGUGAGGCAGCAACGUCGGGUGCGGGAUGACGGCCUUCGGGUUGUAAACCGCUUUCGACUGUGACGAAGAGUGAGUGACGGUAAUGGGUAAAGAAGCACCGGCUAACUACGUG
This 468-nucleotide ribosomal RNA is filed under the name uncultured bacterium. RNAcentral's name for it is "partial 16S ribosomal RNA". It matches the Rfam family "Bacterial small subunit ribosomal RNA", at positions 28 to 507 of the family's 1533-position model. The record is from RNAcentral.